This 253-nucleotide ribosomal RNA is filed under the name uncultured bacterium. RNAcentral describes it as "partial 16S ribosomal RNA". It matches the Rfam family "Bacterial small subunit ribosomal RNA", at positions 524 to 776 of the family's 1533-position model. The record is from RNAcentral.
UACGUAGGGGGCAAGCGUUGUCCGGAUUUAUUGGGCGUAAAGGGUGCGUAGGUGGCGCCAUAAGUCAGGUGUGAAAUCUCGGGGCUCAACCCCGAAACUGCACUUGAUACUGUGGUGCUGGAGUACUGGAGAGGAGAUUGGAAUUUACGGUGUAGCAGUGAAAUGCGUAGAUAUCGUAAGGAAGACCAGUGGCGAAGGCGAAUCUCUGGACAGUUACUGACACUGAGGCACGAAGGCCAGGGGAGCAAACGGG